Long non-coding RNA from Canis lupus familiaris (dog), 637 nucleotides. RefSeq lists it as uncharacterized. The record is from RefSeq and is a predicted model, not a curated record. NCBI's taxonomy places the organism in Eukaryota, Metazoa, Chordata, Mammalia, Carnivora, Canidae. The transcript is spliced from 3 exons.
GAUAUCCACCCUCCAAUUACAGGAGCCUGGAGCCUGACUCUGGAACCUUUGAAGCUUUGUUAUAUUCCUGGUAAAGAGACACUUUUUGAAACCUGCAAGGGAGGGUGAUAUUUCUAAGGUUCGAGAAAGUGUGAACUUUGGCACUGAACAUAUUAUGCUAUUCAGUUGUACUUCCUGAAGUUUAUGCUUAAUGUAGGCAUGGUGCUGCUAUUGUAAAACACGCUUUUGAAUCAAAGAAGAAAGAGGAAGUAUCUCGAUAAAGACUAUAAACUUUGAAGACAAGUAGAAUGUCUUAUCACCAAGGAUGAGAUCAUUGUUGAUAUCCAUCCUCCUGUGACGUUAUUCAAGAAAUUGAUUUUACCAAUUACAAUCCAGUUUCAUAAUUUAGAUGGAAUUUUGCCAUAAAAGGUUUGCUAAUUAUUUGGCCAAAACAACUUAUAUGUUGAAUGAAAUUCUUUGAGAAAGUGAGAAGUUUAAAUCUCCAGAAUAGUAUGGAUUUGUCUUCUCUAAAUGAAGAUUUCCUACCAGUUGACUCUUAUUAGCAACUAUGGUUAACUCAAACAGAUGACUAAUCCCCAUUUAUCCAUUCAGUGUCCUGCGUGAAUUCAUGACAUAAAUGCCAUACAUAACAUCCUAA